GGACACUAGUAGCCAUGUUCAGAAGGCAAGAUCAAAAGCACUAUCAACCUUUGGAGCACUGGUAUCUCCAAAACUACGAUCGGCCCAGAUGUCCUUUGAAACAGCACUUGAAUUAAUUGUGGAAUUAGCAAAUUCUAGGUCAGACAUGUUAUCUAGUUUCUCUCAAAUAAAGGGGGAGUGACUGUUGAUUCAGCCACGCGUGCAACACAUCAUGUUCAGAAGCG
RNAcentral lists this unclassified non-coding RNA (224 nucleotides) under Hevea brasiliensis (rubber tree). The record is from RNAcentral. Lineage: Eukaryota; Viridiplantae; Streptophyta; Magnoliopsida; Malpighiales; Euphorbiaceae.